Molecule: ribosomal RNA, 416 nt
Filed under: uncultured bacterium
Lineage: Bacteria
Description: bacterial SSU rRNA
Rfam family: Bacterial small subunit ribosomal RNA
Source: RNAcentral
GGCGGCACGCCUAACACAUGCAAGUCGAACGAAGUAGCAAUACUUAGUGGCAGACGGGUGAGUAACAUGUGGGUAUCUACCCUUUGGCCUGGAAUAACACGAGGAAACUUGUGCUAAUACCGGAUAAGUCUUUACGGAGAAAGCUUUAUGCACCAUUGGAUGAGCCCGCACUUGAUUAGUUUGUUGGUAGGGUAAUGGCCUACCAAGACUAUGAUCAAUAGCUGAUUUGAGAGGAUGAUCAGCCACAUUGGGACUGAGACACGGCCCAAACUCCUACGGGAGGCAGCAGUGGGGAAUCUUGCACAAUGGAGGAAACUCUGAUGCAGCGAUGCCGCGUGAGUGAAGAAGGCCUUUGGGUUGUAAAGCUCUUUCGUCGGGGAAGAAAAUGACUGUACCCGAAUAAGAAGGUCCGGCUA